AGAUGAGAAAUUGGGGUUUUUCAGAUGUGAUUCCGUUGUCCAAGAUUCUUAAGAUGAAAACAAAGUUGAUAUCUCACUCACUUCGAUUUGAUGCACUUUACCUUCCAUAGCAAAUAUUUAUUACAUCCGACAAGACAAAGGCAACGGGCAGAAAAGUGUACAGCCAUUUCUGUCACACUGAGAAUCAAGCCUGGAUUGCCUCCAGUGAGAAGAUGAUACAGGACUAUUAUAAGGACAAGAUUUUUCAGGAUAAGACACAGUUCUCAUGUGUUCAGACAGAUUGCUUUUCAAAUCACUCUGUAUAGGGAUGGGUUAAACCCAGCUCUAAAAUAAAUAUUUAUAUGCCCUAAAGUUUCCAACUAGGAAGGCGGAAAGGCUCAGAUAUCAAUGACCAGCAUGGGCAGUGACAUGGGUGAAAUGUGGUGUUGCUGGCAUCAAAUUUUCUCAGCUUUCAACUAUUCUCUGUUUUUCUAGAGGAUUGAAUACAUCCUGAUAUUUGAGAACCAGUUGUUAGGCAAUGCAUUUGAAUUAUUAAUAAGAAUGAAGAGGUAACCAUGGCAAGAGAGGAAAAAAAUAAAACUAGCUCUCCAGGUUGCGGAGAUGGUACCUGCAAACUGCUAAGAUACAUAAAAGCAAGGGAAUACAACUUAGAGCAUAGAUGCUUAAAUGCACUUCCUUUCUCUCAUCCACUACCUUAAAGGUAGCAAUUAUGCUUUAUGUGUCCAUGAUAACAAAUGUCUUCUCCAUUCAUCUGUGGCUAGUAGCUUACAAGGCAAAGAUUGCACACAAGGUGACAGGUUUGCUCUCCUCCCUUCCCCACCCCCACUCCCGCACAUCCCCCUGUAAGAGGGACCUCUCAUCCACGUCUCCCAGAGAUUACUGCAAUUAGCAUGUUUCCUAUCAACCCUUCCUGUAAAUCUUUGGUUCAAGGAAGUUUCCUUCCAUCCCUCACCUAGAAGAAAGUAGACAAAAACACAGGCUCAGCACUUUCCAAGUCAAAAAAUAUAGUCAGGUCCUCACCAAACAUGGGCAAUUCUCUGCUCUUUAUCUAUGCAUUUCCUCAACCUUACAUUGACUCAAGGAAGAUAUGCUUCCCCUUAGGAGAGCCAAGUGAGUUAAAAACCAUUGUCAUAGUGUGCCCAAGUGUGAAAAUUAUUAAAGUACCCUUUUGUACAGCUCCUGGAUGAGAGGAGACAAUAGCUGGUGGGGCUGGAGUGCAGGUCUUUAAUCUUCUAUAGGAGUCACCCGUAAAAUUUGAUUCGUUCAAUAGAAGGGGUGCUGGAGUACCUGCUAGAAGUCAGGCCCACCCUGUGCUCUGUACUUGUCUGUA
Molecule: long non-coding RNA, 1330 nt
Filed under: Homo sapiens (human)
Lineage: Eukaryota; Metazoa; Chordata; Mammalia; Primates; Hominidae
Description: HSALNT0386955
Source: RNAcentral